ACGUAGGUGGCAAGCGUUUUCCGGAUUUAUUGGGCGUAAAGCGAGCGCAGGCGGUCUUUUAAGUCUGAUGUGAAAGCCUUCGGCUUAACCGGAGAAGUGCAUCGGAAACUGGGAGACUUGAGUGCAGAAGAGGACAGUGGAACUCCAUGUGUAGCGGUGAAAUGCGUCGAUAUAUGGAAGAACACCAGUGGCGAAGGCGGCUGUCUGGUCUGUAACUGACGCUGAGGCGCGAAAGCAUGUGUAGCUAACGG
This 251-nucleotide ribosomal RNA is filed under the name uncultured bacterium. Its description in RNAcentral is "partial 16S ribosomal RNA". It matches the Rfam family "Bacterial small subunit ribosomal RNA", at positions 525 to 775 of the family's 1533-position model. The record is from RNAcentral.